RNAcentral lists this ribosomal RNA (371 nucleotides) under uncultured organism. RNAcentral describes it as "bacterial SSU rRNA". It matches the Rfam family "Bacterial small subunit ribosomal RNA", at positions 526 to 896 of the family's 1533-position model. The record is from RNAcentral.
CGAAGGGUGCGAGCGUUAAUCGGAAUUACUGGGCGUAAAGCGUGCGCAGGCGGUUUGUUAAGAUAGGCGUGAAAUCCCCGGGCUCAACCUGGGAACUGCGCUUAUGACUGGCAAGCUAGAGUACGGCAGAGGGGGUGGAAUUCCACGUGUAGCAGUGAAAUGCGUAGAGACGUGGAGGAACACCAAUGGCGAAGGCAGCCCCCUGGGUCGAUACUGACGCUCAUGCACGAAAGCGUGGGUAGCAAACAGGAUUAGAUACCCUGGUAGUCCACGCCCUAAACGAUGUCAACUAGGUGUUGGGAGGGUAAAACCUUUUAGUACCGGAGCUAACGCGUGAAGUUGACCGCCUGGGGAGUACGGCCGCAAGGUUA